Molecule: ribosomal RNA, 795 nt
Filed under: uncultured archaeon
Lineage: Archaea
Description: bacterial SSU rRNA
Rfam family: Archaeal small subunit ribosomal RNA
Source: RNAcentral
ACUGCUCAGUAACACGUGGAUAACCUGCCCUUGGGUCCGGCAUAACCCCGGGAAACUGGGGAUAAUUCCGGAUAACGCAUAUAUGCUGGAAUGCUUUAUGCGUAAAAUGGAUUCGUCUGCCCAAGGAUGGGUCUGCGGCCUAUCAGGUAGUAGUGGGUGUAAUGUACCUACUAGCCGACAACGGGUACGGGUUGUGAGAGCAAGAGCCCGGAGAUGGAUUCUGAGACAUGAAUCCAGGCCCUACGGGGCGCAGCAGGCGCGAAAACUUUACAAUGCGGGAAACCGUGAUAAGGGGACACCGAGUGCCAGCAUCAUAUGCUGGCUGUCCAGGUGUGUAAACUACACCUGUUAGCAAGGGCCGGGCAAGACCGGUGCCAGCCGCCGCGGUAACACCGGCGGCCCGAGUGGUGAUCGUGAUUAUUGGGUCUAAAGGGUCCGUAGCCGGUUUGGUCAGUCCUCCGGGAAAUCUGACGGCUCAACCGUUAGGCUUUCGGGGGAUACUGCCAGGCUUGGAACCGGGAGAGGUAAGAGGUACUACAGGGGUAGGAGUGAAAUCUUGUAAUCCCUGUGAGACCACCUGUGGCGAAGGCGUCUUACCAGAACGGGUUCGACGGUGAGGGACGAAAGCUGGGGGCACGAACCGGAUUAGAUACCCGGGUAGUCCCAGCCGUAAACGAUGCUCGCUAGGUGUCAGGCAUGGCGCGACCGUGUCUGGUGCCGCAGGGAAGCCGUGAAGCGAGCCACCUGGGAAGUACGGCCGCAAGGCUGAAACUUAAAGGAAUUGGCGGGGGAGCA